Non-coding RNA from Carlito syrichta (Philippine tarsier), 387 nucleotides. The record is from the annotation of a RefSeq genome assembly. NCBI's taxonomy places the organism in Eukaryota, Metazoa, Chordata, Mammalia, Primates, Tarsiidae.
AUGGGACCUGUCACCCUCCUCACAAUCCUGCUGGCUGUUCUCCCAGAUGUCUGUGCGCAAGUGCAGCUGGUGCAGUCCAAGGCAGAGGUAAAGAGGCCCGGAGAGUCUCUGAAGAUCUCUUGUAAGACUUCUGGAUACAGCUUUACUAGCAACUGGAUCAGCUGGAUUCGCCAGAUGUCUGGGAAAGGCCUGGAGUGGAUGGGGAGUAUCGAUCCUGGUGAUUCAGAAACCCACUAUAGCCCGUCUUUUCAAGGUCAGGUCACCAUCUCUGCCGACAGCUCUGUCAGCACUGCCUACUUACAGUGGCGCAGCCUGAAGAUCUCAGACACUGCCAUGUAUUACUGUGCAAGAGACACACAGAGAGAAAACAGUGCUGAGGGUGUCUAA